GGGUGAGCGGUUUCCUUUGGGGCUUUGGCUGCUGGCCAGUUGUCCAUGCUCCAGU
Molecule: unclassified non-coding RNA, 55 nt
Filed under: Mus musculus (house mouse)
Lineage: Eukaryota; Metazoa; Chordata; Mammalia; Rodentia; Muridae
Description: partial derived from hnRNA or mRNA fragment, or novel small non-messenger RNA without known sequence-or structural motifs
Source: RNAcentral